UACGUAGGGGGCAAGCGUUGUCCGGAGUUACUGGGCGUAAAGGGCACGCAGGCGGCCUGAGGCGUUUCCGGUGCCAGCCCCUCGCUUACCGAGGGGAGUGCCGGGAAGACGCUCAGGCUUGAGGGCCUCAGAGGGACAUAGAAUUCCGGGUGGAGUGGUGAAAUGCGUAGAGAUCCGGAGGAAUACCAAAGGCGAAGGCAGUGUCCUGGGAGGCAACUGACGCUGAGGUGCGAAAGCCAGGGGAG
RNAcentral lists this ribosomal RNA (245 nucleotides) under uncultured bacterium. RNAcentral describes it as "partial 16S ribosomal RNA". It matches the Rfam family "Bacterial small subunit ribosomal RNA", at positions 524 to 768 of the family's 1533-position model. The record is from RNAcentral.